GACGAACGCUGGCGGCGUGCCUAAUACAUGCAAGUUGAGCGCUGAAGGUUGGUCCUUGUACCAACUGGAUGAGCAGCGAACGGGUGAGUAACGCGUGGGGAAUCUGCCUUUGAGCGGGGGACAACAUUUGGAAACGAAUGCUAAUACCGCAUAAAAACUUUAAACACAAGUUUUAAGUUUGAAAGAUGCAAUUGCAUCACUCAAAGAUGAUCCCGCGUUGUAUUAGCUAGUUGGUGAGGUAAAGGCUCACCAAGGCGAUGAUACAUAGCCGACCUGAGAGGGUGAUCGGCCACAUUGGGACUGAGACACGGCCCAAACUCCUACGGGAGGCAGCAGUAGGGAAUCUUCGGCAAUGGACGAAAGUCUGACCGAGCAACGCCGCGGGAGUGAAGAAGGUUGUCGGAUCGUAAAACUCUGUUGGUAGAGAAGAACGUUGGUGAGAGUGGAAAGCUCAUCAAGUGACGGUAACUACCCAGAAAGGGACGGCUAACUACGUG
This 497-nucleotide ribosomal RNA is filed under the name uncultured bacterium. RNAcentral describes it as "partial 16S ribosomal RNA". It matches the Rfam family "Bacterial small subunit ribosomal RNA", at positions 28 to 507 of the family's 1533-position model. The record is from RNAcentral.